GCAUAUCAAUAAGCGGAGGAAAAGAAACCAACCGGGAUUGCCUCAGUAACGGCGAGUGAAGCGGCAAGAGCUCAAAUUUGAAAUCUGGCCCCCUCGGGGUCCGAGUUGUAAUUUGCAGAGGAUGCUUCGGGUGCGGCCCCCGUCUAAGUGCCCUGGAACGGGCCGUCAUAGAGGGUGAGAAUCCCGUCUGGGACGGGGUGUCCGCGUCCGUGUGAAGCUCCUUCGACGAGUCGAGUUGUUUGGGAAUGCAGCUCUAAAUGGGUGGUAAAUUUCAUCUAAAGCUAAAUACUGGCCGGAGACCGAUAGCGCACAAGUAGAGUGAUCGAAAGAUGAAAAGCACUUUGAAAAGAGAGUUAAAAAGCACGUGAAAUUGUUGAAAGGGAAGCGCUUGCGACCAGACUCGCCCGCGGGGUUCAGCCGGCAUUCGUGCCGGUGUACUUCCCCGUGGGCGGGCCAGCGUCGGUUUGGGCGGCCGGUCAAAGGCCCCCGGAAUGUAGUGCCCUUCGGGGCACCUUAUAGCCGGGGGUGCAAUGCGGCCAGCCUGGACCGAGGAACGCGCUUCGGCACGGACGCUGGCAUAAUGGUUGUAAACGACCCGUCUUGAAACACGGACCAAGGAGUCUAACAUCUACGCGAGUGUUCGGGUGUCAAACCCGUGCGCGCAGUGAAAGCGAACGGAGGUGGGAGCCCCCUCGCGGGGCGCACCAUCGACCGAUCCUGAUGUCUUCGGAUGGAUUUGAGUAAGAGCGUAAAUGUGGGGACCCGAAAGAUGGUGAACUAUGCCUGAAUAGGGCGAAGCCAGAGGAAACUCUGGUGGAGGCUCGCAGCGGUUCUGACGUGCAAAUCGAUCGUCAAAUUUGGGUAUAGGGGCGAAAGACUAAUCGAAYCAUCUGGUAGCUGGUUCCUGCG
This 909-nucleotide ribosomal RNA is filed under the name Aspergillus melleus. RNAcentral describes it as "LSU rRNA". It matches the Rfam family "Eukaryotic large subunit ribosomal RNA", at positions 38 to 962 of the family's 3401-position model. The record is from RNAcentral. Lineage: Eukaryota; Fungi; Ascomycota; Eurotiomycetes; Eurotiales; Aspergillaceae.